RNAcentral lists this long non-coding RNA (698 nucleotides) under Monodelphis domestica (gray short-tailed opossum). RNAcentral's name for it is "lncRNA (ENSMODG00000039704.1)". Lineage: Eukaryota; Metazoa; Chordata; Mammalia; Didelphimorphia; Didelphidae. The record is from RNAcentral.
GGGACCCGGAACAAGUCACUUAAGCUCCAUUGCCUAGAACUUACUGCUCUUCUGCUUUAAUAUAUAUGCUGCCAAAGUCAGCACUGCUCUUCUGCCUUAGAACCAAUACACCAAAAUGAAAGAGCACAGACAAGUGACAGAAUGGGAAGGAGCCCAUAAUGGGAGAGCAGAGCUGAGAGAUUUGACUGGGAAGAGGAGGUACAUGAUCCUCUAGCCUGGCGGCAGAACCUCAUGGUGAUGGUGCAUGGCUCCUUUCACACACUCUCCAUUCUGGUCAUACGGAUCUACUUGGUAUACUUUUCACAAGACACCACAUCUUCCAUCAUCAUGUCUUCACCCCGACCGUCCCCUGAAGUCAUGGGCAGCCACAAGCAAGAGCCAAUAGGAAGAAGGAAAAGGAGAGAACAGACUUCAAUGAAGUAGAACCAAGAGAAGGUCAAACGAUUCCCAUUUCUCACCUGGCUCUAGAGCUCUCAAAGGCUUUCUCCUCAGCAGUUCCUUGAGGCUGAGAGUCCCUAGUCCCAUUUUAAAGAGAAUUAAACUAGAGCUCUUAGAGGCAAAGCGACUCAUCUGAGGUCACCCAGCCAGGUAGAGGAGGGAUCCCCAGAGCUUGGGUCAAUUUGGGGCUCAGCUCUUUCCUCUCCAGUGUUUUGCCUCUUAGACUGUGGUGAUAAAGAGACCAAUCUCCAAUGUGAAAG